Molecule: ribosomal RNA, 750 nt
Filed under: Bacillus sp. RS-A-8
Lineage: Bacteria; Bacillati; Bacillota; Bacilli; Caryophanales; Bacillaceae
Description: bacterial SSU rRNA
Rfam family: Bacterial small subunit ribosomal RNA
Source: RNAcentral
UCUUAUGAAAUUAGCGGCGGACGGGUGAGUAACGCGUGGGUAACCUGCCCAUAAAACUGGGAUAACUCCGGGAAACCGGGGCUAAUACCGGAUAACAUUUUGAACCGCAGGGUUCGAAAUUGAAAGGCCGCUUCGGCUGUCACUUAUGGAUGGACCCGCGUCGCAUUAGCUAGUUGGUGAGGUAACGGCUCACCAAGGCAACGAUGCGUAGACGACCUGAGAGGGUGAUCGGCCACACUGGGACUGAGACACCGCCCAGACUCCUACGGGAGGCAGCAUUAGGGAAUCUUCCCCAAUGGACGAAAGUCUGACGGAGCGACGCCGCGUGAGUGAUGAAGGCUUUCGGGUCGUAAAACUCUGUUGUUAGGGAAGAACAAGUGCUAGUUGAAUAAGCUGGCACCUUGACGGUACCUAACCAGAAAGCCACGGCUAACUACGUGCCAACAGCCGCGGUAAUACGUAUGUGGCAAGCGUUAUCCGGAAUUAUUGGGCGUAAAGCGCGCGCAGGUGGUUUCUUAAGUCUGAUGUGAAAGCCCACGGCUCAACCGUGGAGGGUCAUUGGAAACUGGGAGACUUGAGUGCAGAAGAGGAAAGUGGAAUUCCAUGUGUAGCGGUGAAAUGCGUAGAGAUAUGGAGGAACACCAGUGGCGAAGGCGACUUUCUGGUCUGUAACUGACACUGAGGCGCGAAAGCAUGGGGAGCAAACAGGAGUAGAUACCCUCGUAGUCCACGCCGUAAACGAUGAGUGCU